RNAcentral lists this signal recognition particle RNA (98 nucleotides) under Kapaibacterium sp. (SeqCode). RNAcentral's name for it is "signal recognition particle sRNA small type". It matches the Rfam family "Bacterial small signal recognition particle RNA". From Rfam's summary of the family: The signal recognition particle (SRP) is a universally conserved ribonucleoprotein involved in the co-translational targeting of proteins to membranes. Archaeal SRP consists of a 7S RNA and homologues of the eukaryotic SRP19 and SRP54 proteins. Lineage: Bacteria; Pseudomonadati; Bacteroidota; Eximiradiia; Eximiradiales; Kapaibacteriaceae (SeqCode). The record is from RNAcentral.
GGUCAAGCACCACAUAAUUUAAGCAAACCCAACUCCGCCAGGUCCGGAAGGAAGCAACGGUCAGUUUGACUUACUUGUAUGUGGAACGCUUGGCCUUU